This 416-nucleotide long non-coding RNA is filed under the name Androctonus crassicauda. The record is from RNAcentral. Lineage: Eukaryota; Metazoa; Arthropoda; Arachnida; Scorpiones; Buthidae.
CCGAUUUUCAAACCCUAAAUUCAGGUGGUCAGUUUAUAUUCGAUUAUAUAUGGCAGAUGGUUAGGAGCUGGAGCCAGCAGAAAUUUUAGUGGCUCCAGCUCCACUGAAUAUGAUCAGCUUAGCUCUAGCUCCAACUCCAGCUCCUCCAAAACUUCCUGGCUCCAUGGCUCCGGGCUCCGACUCCAGCUCCAGCUCCCCAGUCCUGGUGGGAAGGAUGAGUCUGAUGAGCUUGUACCAGCUUGGGCCGAGUCCAACAUAUGACAUUCUCUUUCCUAUGAUCUUUGAAACACAGUCUUUUGGUCAUAUUUUGUGUCCAGAUAUAUUUCGGGAAUUCGACAUUUGUGCACUGAAAACUACCUUAUAGGGGAAAUUGAAAAAAUAAUGGUUUGAUUGUUUUAAAAUGAACAGUACUUGGG